Molecule: long non-coding RNA, 20354 nt
Filed under: Xyrichtys novacula (pearly razorfish)
Lineage: Eukaryota; Metazoa; Chordata; Actinopteri; Labriformes; Labridae
Source: RNAcentral
AAAUCUUAUUAGGUUAAGUUUGUAACGUGACUGAUGCAGGGAAGUGGAGGUCAGCGCAUGGACUCCAAAUAUUUCAUCGAACCAUUACCAAGUGAAUCACAAAAUUAGUUUACAACUCUACAAUGUAAAGAAGAAACAGAAGGUAUAGGCAUGAUCUGAAAAAACUGUCCUAAACAAAAUUUGGCGCUCUUUUUGGAGUUCAUGGACAACCUGAUUUAGGAAAUUAGCGUGUAUGUAUCCAUGUUUACUCUGAUUUAGUGUUGUCUUUUAUCUAUUUUCAGUUAAAUAUAGUCUUGAAAUUAAUACAAACCAUCAAAUUCUGAUUUAUUAGUAUUUUUGUUGUAAAAAAAUGAUUAAAACUCUAAAUUUAAAUCAUUAAAUUGAGACAAAAAUGUAGAUAACGAACAACUGAACAGACCACUUGUAAAAUAUCAACAUUAAAGCAGUUUUAAUACCAUUUUCCAGCCGAUAAAUGCUCCUGAAUGCCUCCCAGUUAUCCCACAGUCAUCCCAGUCUGACUACCAGACUGCGAACCCCCACCACGGCUCAUUACACAUGCGCAGAAGCAAACGCUGCGUAAAUAUUUAUGUAUAGGUUAACUCUCAUUGGUUAAGUACAUACGAGCCCCCGCGAGCCCAUCCUAUGGUGGCUCCGCCCACCGCUCGCCACUCACGUGGACCCUCAUGCUGGCGGUGAGGGCACGGGGACGGGAGCGCGCGUCAAUAUAUGGUUGACGACAUGAGAAGAAAGAGGAGCUGAUAACGGUAAUAAGUGCGGAAUUAAGUGCAUUUAACGACGUUUAGUGGCUUAAAAACGCACGUAAAUUAAAUUAUAAAGACCUUUAGCUGUAAUGUCACAAUUAUAGACGGUACAGCUCGUGUUUUAUCUUACAUAAGUCGGUUGAAAUAGGUAAAAUUAGCUAUAUUUUUCACUUUUUCACAAUGCUACAGCUUGCACAGGGAUUCACAAGGUCACAAUUACCCUGCAAGUACAGCAGCUGUGUGUCUGUUGGAUGUUUUUAGUAAUGUUGCAGCUUUAUACACCGUGUUCCAAAUUAUUAUGCAAAUGAUAUUAUUCUCAGAUUUUCUAAACAGUCAACGCAAACGACAGUCAGCAUAAUUUUCAAGUCAUUAACCAUUAGAGUUUAAUUUAAAUGUUAUUGAACAAACCUCCCAAUGAAAAACAAAAAACUUAAAAUGAACUGUUCCAAAUUAUAAUGCACAACUGAGAACUGAAAAUGGUCAUUCGGAGGUCAUAUUGACUGAAAUCAAAAGCUAUUUUAAUCAAAAACAUCUUAACAAGUCAAGUUACAUUUUAACAUAGGACCCCUUAUUUGAUAGCAGCUUCAAAUGUCUUGCAUCCAUCCAACUUGUGAGUUUUUGGAGAGUUUCUGCUUGGAUUUGUUUGCAGGAUGUCAGAAUAGCCUGUUGGUUACAUGUGCGUUCUUGCUGAUGUUAAGCACUGCACGCAACAUCCUGGUGUAGCACCCAUCUAGGGAUUUCUCCAGGGUUGGCUUCAGGGUCCAGCAUUCACUGCCACAGAGGAGAACGGACUCUACUGUCGCGUAGAGUUUGAUUUGGCGGGGGAGGUUGGAGUUCUCCAUGCGAGUGCCUUCCUCACUUUUAGAUCUUGUUCAGUUGAGUCGACCCAUGAGCCCAGGCCAACCAGCUCUCUCCCCAUGAUUCCGUCCCAAAACAUGACUCCACCACCUCCUUGCUGACGUCGCAGCCUUGUUGGGACAUGGUGGCCAUCCACUACUCCCUCCAUCUGGACCGUCUAGGGUUGCACGGCACUCAUCAGUGAACAAAACUGUUUGAAAGUUAGUCUUCAUGUGUUUCUGGGCUCACUUGUGAGCAUUGGUUAGGGGUGGCUGAAUAGAAGGUUUGUGCGCAACUGCAAGCCUCUGGAGGAUCCUACACCUCAAGUUCCGUGGGACUCCUGGGGCACCAGCAGCUUCAAAUAUCUAUUUGCUGCUUUGUAAUGACAUUUUAGCAGCUGUUCUCUGAAUCAGCCACAAAUCUCUUAACAGUAUGAAGAUCACACUUAUGUUUCGUGAAAUAUCAGAGGUUUUCAUACCUUGUUCAAGGCAUUCAACUAUUUCACGCAUUUCUUUCCCAUAUUGCUUGAAAACGUUGGUCUGCUUAAUAUUGUGGAACGCCCUUCUUGUUUUUCCCUUAACUGAGCUCACCUGGCAAACUAAUUAUCACAGGUGAAUGAGAUUGAUUUCAGUGAUUCAAAGAGCCCUGAGACACAAUACCAUCCAUGAGUUUAUUGACACUUAAAUACAAUUUGCGUAAUAAUUUGGAACGCAAUCUACAUUUCCUCCAGAAGCUUCAUUAUGAGUUUUCAGAUGAAAACAAACCUCACAAAGAGGUAGAAAUGUCGUAACUUUGCUCUAGUCCAUGCAGGGUCAUCUCUUUUACUCAGCUGUUAUAUUUAAAUUGUGACCUCAGACGGAUAAAGUGCUUAAGUUUGGCGACACAAUCUCAUUAGUGAUGUUCUGUGAUCUAAUGUACAUCUAUAUCAGGCAUCGACCUGUCCUGUCCCGGCCUGACCCUGCCCACUUGGCUGUCCUUCCUCAGGUCAGUCUAAUCCAACAUCCUGACCUCAGUACGGCCGUCCAGUCAUCUCCACGGAUCAGACGCUGCAGCUCCUGGAUCCAGAUGGCACUUUCGUAAAUCCCAUUUCAUUGACAAAAGGUGUUUUCCUCACCGCUGCGGGAACAGGAUGUUCUCUGAGGCUGAGGGAUCACACGCGGAUUAACCUCGGCUAUUUGUGCUGCUGCCCGUGUUUGGACGUACAAACAUAGCAGGUAAUUAUUCGCAUUAUGUGCUGCAAUCCUUUAAAUACUUCCUAAAGUACUUUUUAAAAAUCUAUCUGCACAACUUUAAUAAAUAAAUAGUUAAGUUGUUGUUUUGCACCCAAAAUGUAGCUGAAAAUGCACAGAUGAAUAAUCUUGAUUCUGGCCUGCUGUUUCCAGACACACAAAGUCCACUCUGCCCCAAAAUCGACCCCAAAAAAUCCUCUUUACGCCACCUUUUUUUGGGCCACCCUCUGAGCUCUUCCUUAUUGCUGAGAAAGCAGGUGGCCUGCUGGUUAAACCCCGAGCAUCCAGACUGUCAGGGAGGCCACACUCUGCGGGGAUUAAACCAUGUCCGAACAGGGUGUAAGAGACACACUUCAUGUUUGUACACAUUCAGAAAGAAAAAGCAGAAUCAAACAUACGGCAGAACUAAAAACAGAUUAGAGAUUAGGGGAAAUGCAUUUGAGUCUGCGCUUAGACGUUCAUUUGAGGCUGGCUUGAGACAGAAACGAAUACUUUUACCACAAUGUCAACAGGCGGAAGUGAAAUAUGUCUCCUGUCACAUGUGUACCCACACAAACGAACCUGCUCUGAUGUGCAGUUAAUUGGAUGAAGGGUCUAUACGGAGAUCGUCUAUAUGUGAGAGGCGGUGUGAACUGCAUCUCCAUAUAAAUAGAGCCCAGUGAACGCAAGAGCUCCUUCACAUGCUCCGAGCUAAGACAUAUAAAUAAGGUUUAUUUACAUCGCAGAAACACACACACAACAUGUCAUCGCACGCCGAAUAAGAUACAGCACACAGGCUAGAAAAAAACUCUGCGUGCAUGUGAUGUUUACGAGGAGAGAGGACAUAGAGACAGCAAACAGAGUCUGUGGAGAGAGGUUGGAAAUAAGAGACAAGACAGGAAGCUCGCUCAGGCUAGGACUCAUCCUGACUGGAUUAGGUUGUACGCUCUACCUCCCCUCUACCCUCCCCUCUCAGACCUUAUCUUUUCCAGCAACAUCUUAAACCUGGCGAAACACUUGGAUUCCCUGCAAAACCUCAGAAUAUAUAUCCACUUUCCCCCUUGAAAACAAAGCAUGCAGACCUUUCUUUACUCUCUUUGUGUCUGCAACAUGAUUUAUUUAUUAAAUCCAGGCAGGAAAACGUCCUCAAAAAUCUCAAACUCUGACGUCUGAGAGGUUGCUCUGAGUUUUUACUGCAUACAUCUACACUCUUCGUUUCUCUCCGUCUCUGCGUUCUUGUCCUCGCUUGUCCUCGGCCCAAAGUCACAUUUCUCUAAGGCACGUGCCCCCGCCUCAGGGUGAGAGACGUCUGAUAUUUCAAAACAAACUGCAACUACAGAAGCACGUACAGAGGGAGACACGAAGCAGACGCCCCACUGGGGAGAGAAGGGGAUUAUGGGGGAUUACACCCCCCCUCUCUCUUGUCCUCCACUUUUCCUCCCAUCAGCACCUUCUCUCACUUUUGAAGAGAUGUCAAAAGAGGCGAAGUUUUGACACUUAAAUCUGACCCCUUGUUUAAAAAGUGAAGUGAUCUCGUUCUCAGAGGGGGAUCAUUGCUUUAUCUCACACAGGAUUUUGACACAGAAAUAACCGCGUACCUCAUCGGUAAUGACUCUCUUCACUCAGCUGUGCGUCUGAAGAAUUCCUGUGUCACGUCAAUCUGGUCCGACCGGUCCGUGAAUGCCUGAGUCAUUAUUUUUGCGGCAGUGUCAAUGUUAAAAGAGCAGUUUCUGUUUGUGUUUGGUAUCUGAUUGAGGAUUAACAAAGCAAAGGCAGAUAAGAAGCAGCUGCGUCUUUGUUAAACUCACUUUAAUAAGAGCAAACUUUAAUAUAAUAUCAUGAGUGCGACUGUAAAUGAAACUUAAAUUCUCCUUAAGUGCUCUUCUCUCUAAUCCUUUAUUUGUUUUGGCUGACAAAUGCUGAAUUUGUGUCUGUCUGUGUCUGUGUGUGUCCUUUAAAUGCAGCCAGACAGUCAUUACACCAUUGUUGAACUCACACAGCAGGAGAGACAACAACAGCGCCACGUCUACGUAAAGAGCUUUCCUCCUAAUCAGGUUGUUUAUGGCACAGACCGUUCCAGUUUAUUAAAGGGACGCUUGAAGGACUUUUAAGUGUCUCACUGUGAAGUGCAAAUGAAUGUCAUGUGUUCGCAGAGAGAGAGAGAGACACAAAAUUUAAUAUUCUGCAGAGACAUAAUAAAAGACACAACGCCUCGUUUACAUCACUGCUGUGUCUCUGACCUACAUCGCACUAUGUCAUCAAAUGCGCCGCAAAACCAAACCCCGAGUCUGUUUUCAGUCUGUGAAAGACAUCAAAGUCUGGUGUCAUGACCAGCAGGUCCAUUUAGUGACAUUUACAGCGCUUUGUUUUUGGACAUGUUAUUGUGAUUUGCCAACAAAGGGAAGUGACGUGACAUGAAGACGAUGAGACAAAAACACAACAAUCCUCUAGUGUGAGCUGUGAAUGUGAGCUUGUUUGGCUAACCAGCGUUGCCCACUUAUCUGUAAUGUAAGUUGCAUGUGGCUGUCCUAGAGGUCGCUAGAUGAUGUCAUAGCCUAGUUUGUCUAGUUGCACAUUUGCACGUAAUAGUGAUUUACCUUCGACAUGUAAAAUUUGACAUCACUGCAGGUUAUGAUGCACAUUUCGGAUUUUUUGUUAAAUCCGAUCUUUUUGUGCGGUCGUCGACAUUACAACAACGAAUGCGGCAUCUCAUGUGGUAGGGGAAAAGUCCCGCCUCCUUCGCCUUUGAUUGGCUAGAAAAGCUAGAAACGUCAUCACAUGCUCAAGCCAAACAAGGGCUGUCGGCUCUGUACAUCGAACAGAACAUUAUCACACUUCUGAAUUUCCUAACCCUAACCAGACAGACGAUGACAUUUCACAGCCAUAAGGAAUAACCAAUCGGAGCCCAGCACUUCUAGCCAAUCAGAGGCGAAGGAGGGUGUGACCUUCACCUACCAUUCUACAAACAAAAAAAAAAUUUGCGUCCAGGGCAGCACCUGCUGCUCGUUGAGAAAAGAAAGAUCGAUACGUGCUUUCACAUCAGUCUCCAAACUCCAGGAAAAGGGGCUAGAUUUGUAGCGUUUUAAAAAAAAAAGUUGCGAGGGGCCCUGAAAAGUCGCUAAGUUGUGGCUAACUAGCUUAAUAAGGUAGUAAACAUGGAUGUUGUCUCAGUGACGUCACCCGUUGGUUCCCAAAGUGGUGUUACCAAGUCCAAAGAUGGAGGUCGACAACUCUUCUUGGACACCUUGGUGCAGCUUUGCUUGACCAGAUCCUGUACUGUACAAGGUCAAGAGUGUAUGCAAUAGUCAGGUUACACAUCAGGCUGCUGGAUUAUACGGCAAGCGAGUUCAGGCGGCCUGAUGCGCUUGUUUACUGUAUUAUUAUGAAUUUGAAUAUUACCCUUUUCUUCAGAGCAAGGAGUGUUAAUUUUGUUCCUGUACGUGUAAACAAAAAGGGAGUUUUCUUCUGAUGCCUAACUCUUAAAAGAAGUUGCAAGGAAAUAGUCAAUGUCUAUAUUAUCGGUCUUGUUUGCUUUUGGGCCGUGCCAUCAAUUUACAGUCUGUUUUAUAGCCAGUCAAAAAUCCCUCACAGGAGCUUUAGACUUCUCCUGAUCAGCUAGUUACAGCAGCAGAAAGUUUUGCAAAGAAGUGAAGAAAAGCCUCAAAGUCAAUCAAAAUCCCAUCUCAAGCCUCAGUUAUAAAUGUAAACUCCCAGGAUUCAGCGCGGAGAUAAUUGUAGCGUCAGAAGUGCACGUCGACUGCCUCACAAAGCGAAGAGGAGACAGCCUGUCCUCAGACAAUGUGCUGAUCUCAACAAUCAGAGGCACUGUGACAAUGCCAGCGUGAGCAUUUAAUACGUCCUUCCUCUGCCUGCACACGGACAAAUCCUCUAAGCGCUCGCACUUCAGAUCGCAGGAAGGAGAAGUCUCGCCCUUGUGUGACAGUUAUGUGACCCAAAACCGCUGCGACCUCAAAAACAGCGCCAGAGGAGAAUGAGUCAAAAAGUAACACAGGUCAAAUCAAUCCGUUGUUUUCUCCUACAUUAUUAAUAUCAUGUGAGACGGGGAUCUAGACUUUUCCUUUUAUGCUAAUUAAACACAGCGGGUGUGUUUGAGCAGGUGCGCGCCAAAUGGCAAAGAGCCCCCGAGGCCUCUUAGUGAAGAAGGAGCAGAGAUCUGGUAAAAGCUGCUCAAACCUGACCCAGGAUCAGCCCAGGUGUCGGAUGCUUUGAGUAAAUAAGCAACUAAAGGUUUCAUGUGGUUGACAGCUGCUUGUGUACUCUUCACAGAAACAUACAAAUCCUGCUUUUUGUUUGCAGGAGCUGAAAGAGGGCGUGCUCCGUGUGCGGAUAGCUUCACACAGACGAGUUAAACAAACGCUGACUUUCCACCUAGACAUAUUUACACUCUUCCAGCUUUCUUUCUUUGCAUCUUCUUUUCCUGCAGACGAACUUCACUCUGAGUCUGUUUUUGCUCUUUCUCCUAUAAGUCGACCUCUGCGUAAUCUCCACGUCCAUAAAACCUCAGUCGGCUCGUGUCUUGAACAUACUGUUCAGCCACACACACGCACGCACAGUCUGAGGUCAGCCUCUAUCACUGCUGUGUUUCCUGUUUGCUUCCUAUUUCUGACACAGGAGGAGAGAUCAGCAUCUUCUCUUUCCUCCAUGGUGCCGUCCUUCAGUCCUCGCCUCGCUCUUAUUUCCACGUCUUAUCAACUCUGGAGAAAGAACAGGUUGAAGACAUGCAAUUUCCUCCUUUUUGUGCACAAAUCAUAUCUUAAUUCUGAUUGUUGAUGCAUAUUUUACCUUCAUCAUCAUCCAACUGUUUGCACUUUAACUCCCUUUAGCAGUUACAGUAAAGUCUAUUUUCAUUUAUUUGUUUUAAUCAGUUGAAUUUCAUCUUAAAAACAUGAAAAACAUGAAAAAGGUAGUGCAAAUCGUACCUCACAAAAACACUGAGGCAAGUUCUUCUUUAAACAAACCUCAGCUAUUGUUGCUGCCAAAGUAGGUUUCAGAAGUCCCGCCCCUUCUCAGUUUUGAUUAAUUGGUAUUAAGGAUCUGAUACUAGUAAGUGCUUCACUUUCAAACUUCUAUAAAUCAGAUGACAGACAACCUAACAACAUAAUAAACUUCUGAGGGAGAACCUUUUUGGACUGCAUUGGUGUUUGAAAAAAUAUCUGCUGCCAGCCCAAGAAAACACUGUCAGUGGACACAGGCCCUAACCCGUCAUAUUGACUUUUAGACUUAUCUCGCAUCACUAGAUUUUGUUUGAUUAUCUAAAAAUAGAUAUUUAUCAGAAAAUUUUUAAAAAUAUGAUUUAAAAGCAAUAGUUUCGAGUGACAAGUGGAUCAGUGGACACAGGCCCUUAUCCAUCACAUGAUAUUUUAGGCCUAUUUUUCAUUCUUAUCAGAUUUUUUGAUGAUCUUAAACUGAUACAUCAUAACACAAUCAAUUAAUCAAGAUCCCAUGGUUGUGGUGUAAAGUAGCCAGUGGAUCAGUGGACACAGGCCCUUAUACUUCACCUUACCUUUUAAGCUUAUUUUGAAUGACGAGACCAUUUUUGAUUAUUAUAAAAUAGAUAUUUAAUUGUCACAAGAUUAAAAAAAUAUAAUUUAAUAAUAAUGGUUUAGAUUUUUGAUAAUCUUAACCCUAUGCAACAUAACAUAAUCAAUGGAUCAAGAUUCCAUGUUUGUGGUGUAAAGUAGCCAGUGGAUAUGUGGACACAGGCCCUUAUACUUCCCUUUAACUUUAAGGCUCAUUUUGCAUUUCUAGAUUUUUUUUGGAUUAUCUAAAAAUAGAUAUUUAAUUAUCACAGAACUAAAAAAAGAUGAUUCAAAAGUAACGGUUUCAAGUGACAAGUGGAUCGAUGGACACAGGCCCUAAUCCUGCACAUGACAUUUCAGGCCUUAUUUGUAUUCUAAUGAGAUUAUUCGAUUAUCUUAAACUGAUACAAAAUAACAUAAUAAAUGGAUCAAGAUUCCAUGGUUGUGGUGUAAAGUAGCCUGUGGAUCAGUGGACACAGGCCCUUAUACUUCACAUUACCUUUUAAGCUUAUGUUGCAUUCUUACUACAUUUUGUGAUUAUCUUAUACUGAUUGAUCAUCUCGUGAUUCUAUGGUAGUGGUUUAUAGAAGUGGUUGUAUCAGUGGACACAGGCCCUAACCCUUCACAUUAACUUUUUUGCUUAUUUUGCAUUAAAUUUUGGGUCAAGCUGUUAUAUCGUCCCUCUGCUUCUCCUACCUGUACGGGUAACACACUGGCUGCCCUCUCAAGGCAAUGGUAUUUUAACAUUAAAUGUAAAAAAAAGGUGAAUUUGCUCCCUACAAAGCGCACUCAUCUAACACUUAAUCUAUCAGAUGCCCCCUGAUAUUUACAUGUUUAUGUAAUCUAGACUUAAAUACAUCCUCAGGUACUUUAUCAGACUUGUUGACUGACUAAAAGCAGAUAAUCUAAGAGCACACUUGAAACACUCUUGCAUCAUGGCCCUGACUUUACUGAGAUAGGACUCCUAAAAUUUGACGUGCUCCUUUAAAUUUCUCCUUCCUAAAAUGUGUGUGUUCCUGGCACGUUUGCAGACCUGCUCCGGGCUGCGCAGCGGCACGUGGAGGAACAUCAGCAGCAAGAAAAGGCAGGCGGAGGCGAGAAAGAGAAAGAAGCACAAACACAGCAGAGCAGAGAUCCUGCACAUACAUGGACAUACACCGGACAAUAGGCACAUUGAACUGAUCAGCAUUGCGACAUUUAGCAUUGAGGUGUGUGAAUUAGUCAUGUGAGACAACCAUUGUGCAUCAAAUUAUGUUUAUGCAACAAGAUGAAAGGUGACGUCAAUGAUUUGAAGCUGUUGAAGACAUAGCCAAUCAAAAAUGAGACUCCUGGUUGCCUGGUUGGAUAGAGCCCCUCCAGUUAAUAUUACUCUACAAUUGUUAAGAGUUUGGAAGACGCAGAUUUUGUGUAAUGAAUCAUUUUUUUUCCUGCCUUAAAGUCACAAAGUUGCAUGCUUGACAAUAAAAACAAGUUUAAGUAGCUCUCUAUUUAGCCAGAUAAAGUAAAAACAGAGACUUUCUGUUACUGUUUGCGCCUGUAUUAUCCCAAUUGACCUGACACUGCACCCUAUAAUGACAUCAAUGAUAAAAAUAUGGUAUAUAUGAUAUAUAUGGUAUAUAUAUAUAUAUAUAUAUAUAUAUAUAUAUAUAUAUAUAUAUAUAUAUAUAUAUAUUUAAAUUAAUUAAUUUAUUUAUUUUUCAUAUAUAAAAAGGGCAUCUAGAAGAAGUUUUAUGAAACAUAUUGAGCUGAAAAUCUGAAGUUGACAAACAAACAAACAAACAGAAAUAAUUAUAGUAAGGUUUGUUUAUUAAAAGGGCAGCUUACAACCAAUAUUUCCACUGGAAGAGCAUCCGGUGGCCUCAUUUUCUUUUACAUCUUCUCAUUUUAUAAAGCAUCAAGAGGCGCUUUUAUCAAUAUAUUUCUUAUUUUGAGAUUGAACCUGAGAGAGUAGGAUGCAAAGGGCACAAGCUGAUGUACUGGUAGGACAUCCAGAGCGCAUUGGUUUAUAAACUGGAAAAGGCAUCCAGAGGAUCCAUUUUCAUACAUUAAAAGGGCAUCUAGAAGAAUUUUUAUGAAACAGAGGAGCAUCCAGAAGGUACAGUGAAGCAUGCAGAGUGGAAUUAUGUCCAAUACUGGAAGGGCAUCCAGAGUGUACUUUGUAAUUAUUGAACGAGCAUCUGGAAAGCACAUUUUGUAUACUGGAAGGCCAACCAGGGGGCACUUAUUUUCUGGACAGAUAUUCACAGGGAACUUUCUGAAAAGAAUAUUUCCUUUACUGGAAAAGCAUCCGAGCCGCACCUUUUAUAUACUGGAGGGGCAUCAAGAGGACAUCCAGAGGGAACCUUUUUUCCUUGAAAUGGCCUCCAGAUGGAAUAAUUGAUCAUAUUUUAUAUUUAGAAAUAAAACUAAAACCAGUGCAUGUCAGUCAUUUAACUUUGUUGCUUUGUGUUUAAAUGAAACAUCAUGUUAGCGAUAUCAUACACAACAGAGAGGUCUCAAGGUACUCAAUGUUAACAGAGUUGAAAUUCAAAGAAAAAGAAAUUACAGGAGCUUAAUAAUGGCGUCCGCUCAUCUUGUCCUCGUCUCCCCAACUGACCACAGCAGAGGCGCCACUCAGUUACGUCAUUAGGAUAUUGAUAUCUUUUUCAUAUAUCACUGUCCUUUGUGGACUCUGGACUUUAAAAUUCACCUAGAACUGGGCAAGGUAAGACUUGAACCCACGAUGUCAGGAGUUCCAGUCAGUCUCCUUAUCCACUGAGCCAUGUGGACACACAAGACAAUCGUGUUUUUUUUCCACUUAAAUCUGUCUCUGUCUGUUGAAAAACCUUCACUCUUUUGUUUCCAUUGUUGAUUUUAUUUUGCCAGUUAACCUCAGUCGCCACUAUAAACCUCCACUUUUCAAAAAUAGACUUUAAAAAUAUGUUUUGUCUCCUUGUGAAACUGAAUGACAGAAACUGCAACUCCUCUCCUGUUUAUCAGACUAAACCAGCCCCUGUUUGGCAGAAUAAAAGGCUUUUAUUUUGAAAGUAUCAGUGGAUCCUCUCAUUAUCAGCACAAAGAAAAAAGACAAAGGCAGACAUUCGGCACUUUUUUUCUCUUUUCACCAAGUAAUCAAUCAUCAGAUUAAGAGUGUACAGCACACAGAUUGAACAAAGAUCCAAUAUGCUGACUUGAUAUUUAGGUCAGUCCUCUCUGGGUAACACGGCGUAGUGAAUCCCCCCUUCCCACCUCCCCCUCCUCUCUUCUAGCUGAGGGCUUUUAGGCUUCGAGAAGUACAGGGUGUUCUAGCACAGUCUGUACAUAUACUAUACAUCCUAGUGGCAUGCGCUCUCUCACUCGCACAUACAUGCGCGGCAGCAGUAGAGUGUCCACCCAGGGAGACACGCAUUUCCAUUCUAUACAUUGACUCUUGAUAUUCCUCAGCGUGGUCAGACAGCAGUACACUGUGUCCUCAUGUGGACUCUGAUACCCGAACAGGUGCUGAGCCGCUUCAGUCGUCCCUUUAGGGGCACGUAAAGCCUGCAGCGUAUAGGAUGUGGUGUAAAGAUACUAUCAUUACGUCUUUUUUUAUCACGCUGUAUAGAAAAAAAUAACACAAUGUUUUGUGUGUCUCGAGGUUGGGAGGAAACCACAUUUGCCUCUCAGAACAAAAUGUUUCACCCUGCGGAGAAAUAGAUGUUCUGUUCUUUAUGCUAAAACAGCAUGUGUGCACUCAUAAGCUAAUUACACAGAACAAGACUGAUCAGGUUUUCUUAGUCCAGCAUCACAUUUACAGAGCAGAAUAUAUAAAGAUCUCUGAUAUAGAUAAAGACACUGAUGGGUCGUGUUUACAGGAUGUUUUAAGGGGAAAAAAUCAUAAUUUAUCAUAUCAAAAUAUAUGUAUUUACUGAUAUAUCUUGUUUGCACGGAAAACUUAAUCUUGUAGAAACAAGUUAUCAUCAUAUCUGCAAAAAUUAUCAACUUGUGGCACUAGGUAUAUAUCUUGUAGGAACAGCUUGUUAUCAUGUGUUGUCUUGCGAGAACUUGUAAUCAGCUUUUUGGCAUAUCAUAGAAUUUAGAUACCUAUAUUGUGCAAAACAGGAUCGCCACAAGAGAAUAACAUGUGCAUGUGAGACAACAGAGUAUUUUGUUCCAACAAGAUUUUUUCUUCUGUUUAGCGCUUUCAUGGGAACAUUAAAAAUCUUGUUGGAAAAAAUAAUGAUCUUGGAGAAGCAGCUUAUUUGUGGGCAUAAUAAAACUAUCUCGCAGAUUCAGCUCAUGUACAUGCUAUCUUGCGGGAACGAGGUAAUUAUCAUACUGGAAAGAUAAGAUCUUGCAAGCACAAGAUACUUACUGUAGAUUGUGCACACAAUAUAGUUCCUUGUUGUGACAAAAUGAUUUUAAAGUGCCUGCGGUUGAAUAUGUUGUGUGCAAGAUAUUUAAUCAUGUGCAAGAUUAUACCUUGGGCAUUCAAGAUAAGUUUGUUGUGCAAACAAGAUAAUUGACCUGUUUCCUCAAGAUAAUUAAACACAUUAAUAACAUCUUACCGGAACAAGUAACAAUCUUGUGCACACAAAAUACUGUUCUUACAGGAAAAUGUUAAAAUAUUUUGUACGCAAGAUAUUUAUCUUGCGCACACAAGAUUAUAACUAGAUCCCACGACUGAUUGACAAACUGCGCACAAGUUAAGACCAUGAUUGAACAAGGUGAGCUCAAGAUAUUCACUCGUAUGUGCAGGGUUAUAUCUUGCACACACAAGAUAAAUAUGAAGACACUUUACUUUGUUCUACAAGAUACUUGUGUGAACAACAUAAUUGUUUGGUGGGGGGAAAUCCAUUUUUGACAAACAGAAUUCUUGAAAUGUAUCUGAUUCGAUCUCCAGAUCAUGAAAUAACAUGUCUAUUAAAGCUUCAAUUAGCGCUUUUAUUGCUGACACAGCUUCAUGUCUUUAACACCCUCUUAAAAAGUCUCGUUCACACUGGCUGUCACUGCUGUACAUUGUCAUUUGUCAGUGUUGAUUGAAAGUCUCUAAAAGGAAAGUACAGCCUUGAAAACGCACUAAUCCUCCAUAAUAAUUCAUACCUGCUUUCUCUUUUUUAAAAGAUGUUCCCAAACAAGAUCUUAUUACUGUAUUUGUAACGUUAGAAAUGUGGGAACUGAAGCUUGGCACAGCUCACAGCACCUCAGACAGAUAAAUGUGCAUAAAGAAACACACACACACACACACACGAACUGUAGUGGGAGCUUUGAGAGACGGCGAACAAAAGCAGAGGAGGGGUCGGCGUAUCAGCUGUAGUCACGAAACAGCAGAGUGUGGGCACGACGUGUUCGAAACGGCGCUGCUUUUCAGGCACCCGUUUUGUGUCGCCGUGUGCAGUUUGUCACUUUUACAAUCCCAAGUGUCAAAGCUAACGUGACAUUAGCCGCUGUCAUGGCUUAGAAAGACGUCCCAAAAACAAAGACAAAGACAGCGAGGCUUCUAAUGGAACUUGUUCUCGGCGGAUUAUCCCCAGAGGGAGUCUCUUAUUAGACGCCGAGUGAUUGACACGCUGGAAUGAAACACAUCAGCAUGUUUUAAAUAACAAAACUGAAAGUGCGAUGAAGCCGAAUUGAGCUUCGUUUUCAGGAAUACUCUGUAAACGAACCAAACGUUUCGUGUUGAUGUUCUCUUUAAAAACACACACACACACAGAGCGGCAGGAAAAAGGGCAAACAUUGGCGUCUGAACACCCACACACACACCUGGUGUACGGGACUAAGUGGUAAACAAGCAGCCUCUUCACAAGCGAGGGUUUAAAAGGGCUGCUGGUUCGUUUGCAUGAUGUGUUUAUCUCGGUCUGGAGCCGUUUUUAAAGUGCCACAGAAGAGCUGCAGCCGUAAAGAGAGGCCUCUUCUUAGUCAUUAUUCCUGGAGCUGGAAGUGUGACGGCUUGUUGUCCUAUAUUUAACAUACAUUUUUAGCAUUCUUGAAAGGGCUUCGCUGGCGAUAACAACGUCUUUUAGCAUCGUGCACGAUUUGUCAUAUCGGAGUGUAGAAGUCAAAAUCAAGGGCUGGCAGACAUUCAGGAGUUUCAUGAUGCUAUAUGUGCUGGAAAUGAUAAUGCUAUGUUAGCUGUGUUUGGAAAAAAAACAAAACAAAACUGCAGUUCCUAGAGUGUCCACUUGAGGCUGGUUGCAAAAGCUCAGGAAGUCCCAUUAAAGUCCUGGUUGACGAUCUGAGAAGCAGAUCUGAGCCGUUGUGGCAGAUUUGAAAAAAGCGUCCCACCCCCACACACAAACCUCUCCCCGCCCGAUGUUUAUUCCAGUUAGAUUCCUCGCUUGGUCACAUUUCCUCUUCGACUCCGCCCUUUCUUCUGUCCGCUUGCGUUUUCUUUCCACUUUUGGCGGUGUUUUUUUUUUUUUUUUUGGCGUCCUUCUCCAUCACAGUUCCUGUAGCUAAGCUGCUACGCUACUUUUAGCCGCUCAGAGCUCCAAGGAGAGCCAGUAGAGUGGGAGGGGACGAGUCGGAACUACGGGAGAGAGGUGUGUCGAGUACAGUGAGGUGAUUGGAUAGAGAGGCGGCGCAGGAGAUUGACCAAUAAGAGCUGUCCAGGACGGAUGGCUCCCAUUGGUCAAUGUUUUUGAAGCCCUGCACCUGCUAGGGUGAACGGAUUUUUCUGUUCUUUUUUCUCUUCAUUUUGUGGAGAUCGCACUAUAGGACCAUGAUCGCCAUAGAAACAAGAUUGAUGAUAAUUACCAAUCUCUCCAAUCGUCAACCAUGUCUUUAACAGACAUGUUAAAAUACAGUGACCUUAUCCUGACUUCCAAAAAAGAAGCCACAAUUACGCGGGGGCAGAGUCACGGUGUCGCACAAAGUUAAUUUAGAGAGUUUUUCGGGUUGGAUUGGGGGUUUUUACGCGCUUCUAACUCAGUAAGUCCAUGUGACACAAAAUCAAAACUUCCGUACAAAACCACGGACAUUUGAGAGAUUCUAUAAACUUCCCCAGACAAAGCCAGACAAACACGGACAGCCCCCAUAAAAGAGGACGUAUGGUCCUCUUUGUCGUUAAAAUGACAGAUUUCACAUUUGAUAGCCUGGCUGAAAAUACCAUUUUGGUCUGGAUGGCUUAUGUUUCAUCAGUAAACACUGUAUGUUGUGUGUUUUAUUUGGGUUAUUGGCAAAGAGUCGUGCACUGAUUUGCAUAAUUAGGUUUGCAGUUAAUCGACACUUACUGUCAUUUAAUGUAAUGAGUAUUUUCUCAUAUAAUGACAUUACUUCAUUCAGAUUUGCCCUCAGUUGACUGGCUGCACCUCUUUGUCGAAGAAUGGGCUGAGUUAGCAUUCCCAACAAGGCGGCCACCAAUUUUGGGCUUCUUAACAUCUCUUCAGAAACCAGUAGAUGUUGUCGCUGAGACUACACCCGUGUUUUCUCAGGUGUAGGUCACAGUUAAGUCUUUUAUUAUUAAUUUGCUGUUUCUAGAAACAAUAUUUAUCCUUUUUAUUGUUUCUAUAACCUGAAGUCUGAAGAUGCUGCUGGUGUAUUCGUCUUUACCCAUCUCUUUAUCCCUCGAACCCCAGCAGGAUUGUAUCAGACAGCUACUCAGCAUCAGUUUGGCUCUGCUCCUGGUUUCAGCCAAUUACAGGACUACACUGUAACUCGCCAAACGCUGCAAAGUGCUUUGAGAUGAGAUAAAACUGAUUUUGUGCCUUUUAAAUAAUUUAACAAAGACUCUGCUCUUUUUCUUUGGCACUUUGAAACAACAUUUGUUUCUUAAUACGAUUGUUGGUCUUAAAAAUAGCUGCUUGAGGAGAUAUCAGAGGGACACCAAAGUUAGUCUGAUUUAUCAUCUUGGGGUCAUGAGUACUGGAGCAAAGCUUAACAGCAACUUAACUGUUUUCAUUGAUUUUAAAGUUAAAUAUGAAGGAAAACACAAGUUGGAACAAGCUCAUGUGGUCGUAUACAUGUUUAUAGUCAACAUCCAAGUCUUAAUCACCUCUGGGAAACGUUUCUGUAACCUCAACUCGAGUCUGAAAACCAAACAAACAUGAACUUUGUCGUCGAAUGUAAUUAAAAUAAGCUUUAUAGGGCCAAUUCACCGUAUGAUUGAUCCUCGUUUGGCCCACUUUACAUAUUUACAGCUGCCUUUUUUCCACAGAUGUCAUAAAUACUUGCAGGCUGUAAUCCCAGACAUCUUUCACCACCCAUUUUAUGUAAUUAAACAAGAACGCAGCAGCUUCAUGACAACAAAACUGCGACAAUUAUUUGUACAAUCAGGGUUCCUCUAGGCGUUAUGUAAUAAUCCUCUAUAUACAAUAGGUGGAUAUACAUCUAACUGGUUUGUUUUCUGUUCUCAGUCAUAUAGGAACAUUUCAGGAACAAAACAGGGCGGGCAAAUGGGAGGAUGUUCAUGUUUUUAGUUGGCAUUAUGCCGAAUGUGAGUGAAAAAAAAAAAAAACACCCUCACAGUGGAAUCGAGCGGCAGCUGUGGUUUCUGUGCGCCUGUGAGAGAGGGAAUACAGGGAACAGCAUGUACAGGACAGCGUAGAGCUUUACCAUCUCUAUAAGGGAGUGGGAAAACGAUACUGUAGGGAGGAGAGGAGGUCCUUCAGCUGUAGCGCCGUCCCACCACUGCCUCUUCCUCCGUUUCAUUCAUAAUUUACCGCCCCACUGUUCUGUCUGCAGUUGGGAUACAGGGAGGAAACAAGCCCAGGCAGAGCCCCCCUCCGCUCACUCGCACGCACACUCGCUCUUGUGACGUAAUGAACGACCUGGGACUCCCUGCUGCUCCCCCCUAGCUGCCCUAUUUUCUCGCUGCGGAGGAACUAAAUAGGUCUCCUCAUCACUUGUGCUGCAGUUUGGCAUGCGAAGCAUUCAGCGUCCUGGACUGCAGUGUUUGUUUACAACACCGUUAACCACAGCUGUGUGUCUGAGCGUUCACAACACACAGAAAAUUCAGAAUAUCUUCAGGAAAAACAUUCAAAUAUAUCUGUUUUAAUCUGGAUUAUAGCAACCUCGUCAGAUUACAAACCAGGGAGAUUAGCAGCAUAUUGAUCCUGUUGUUGAAUAUGUCGCUAUCGCCACACAGAUAUUCAAACAGCACCGCCGCCUCAGCCCAGACAAAGCUGUUCACUUCAAAGAGAAACAGACAUGUGUUAUACAUAUUUAAUGCACAGACAGUCUGAGACUUACGCAAACAUUACACAACUCUCAGUAAGAUAAUUCUGCUGCAGUGUGCUGAACACGCACAACGUAAUGAACGCCUAAAACAGAAGAAGUGCUUCACACCUGCUCUUUGUGUGUUUAAUUGGUCGCCACGCAAACUGGUGCUGAAUCAGCGUCAGCGGAGAUGGAAAUGAAAAGGGUUCAACGUGACCUGGCGCUUUCGAGUUGUUGGGGUUACUAUGGAGAUAAUAAGUUUGGUUCAAACACUUUCACUCUUAAGUACAACCCAGAGGAGCCUGAUUAAUGCAUAUACAGGAAAAUGUCCUCUGUGUGCUUUAACACAGGCUUGUUUCUUGAAAUGUAAGCGGUUCAAAAACAACAUGAAGCUCAUCAGAUAGACUGCUUUUUUAAAGGGCUACGGCUAUUUGUUAUCAAUUAAUGUAAUGGCUAUUUUCUUACAUAAUUGAAUUGAAUGUUUGGUCCAUGAAAAAACAAUAAAGUCACAACCUAAUUUAACUCUAAAACUAGUGGAAUUUUGCUACAAGAUCUUAAUAUUCAUCUUGGAAAUCAUGGACGUCGAUUCAUCUGCUCUGAAGAGGAUAUGGACAACUCAGAUUAUCAUUAGUUCACCACCAUCUGUGAUGGCCUUGGGAUGCAUUAGCGCCUAUACUAAUGCAUCCUUGAUAUACAUUAGUAUACCAGGGGAUGCAUUAGUAAGAAAUCCAAGCCUUUUACAUGGAUAUCUUACAAAUCUGGGAAGGCGACAUUAAUGCUGAAAAUUAUAAGUGCAGGUUUCUUUCUGGGGGGAAUCUCAGGUUUUGUUUUUCCACAGGUACUGAUUCGGGACUGAUCUGCUUGUUUUUAGGUCACAGAUUAAAUCCAUCAUAUUUGAUAGUAUGGGGGUUUCAUAAGCGGUAAUUGUAUGAGUAGCAUACACACCAUUAAUGCUGUUUUAGACCAACAUAUGCUGUCAUCCUUCUCCAGGGGCGACCAACAAGAUGACAUAUUCUUCAACAUCAUGGCUCAGAAGUCGAAGAGUCCUGAUACUGAACAUCAAACAUCAAGAUUCGAAUUUGCAAACCAUCAACUCCUUCUCUUUUAACAUGUCAUAUUUUAUGGGGUUGUAAUCGAACAGUUUAUUAGUUUGAAAUAAUACUUUUAAAAGUAGAAAUGUGGUUUUGGGAUUUCAGCUAAAAAACAAGAUCAAAAAGCCUCCUCCGUCUCCUUAAGAAGAGCCGGAGGAUUGAAGAUAGUAAGAAGCUGAGCAGCAUUUAGAAAGUGACUCACUGUUGGUUUAAGUGGGUGUGAAACCGACUGUACGCCUACAGAUGUACAUUUGGCAAAGGGGGCCGCCUUAUAAAUCCCAAACUGUGUAUUGUUGUCAGUUACAGUUUAUUGAUGAUUCAUUUCAGUCUAAAUAAAUCUGUUCAUGUCACAGAAUCAGUCUCCUCGUGUCCAGGCAAGAUGUCACGCUUCAAAAAGCAAACAACACAUACGAGCCGCCCACUUGUGUUAUAUAAUAAAAAAGCCGUUUUUUACUGAACAUGUCAUGAGAUAUAGUCUAAAUCUGUACUGUUAUCUGCGAGGAAUACCAAGACACAAGCAUGUGUGUCUGUGUUUGUUUGCGUUGCUCAGGUGCAAAGCUGGGUGGGGCUCUCUUACAGGCGUGUUUGUCGGUUAAAGGUUUCCUUUAUUACGUCUAUUUCUGGCCUAGGCUAUUUACUGGAGACCUUUCAGCUACGUCACGCGUCUCUGAGACUCGUAUCCCGACGCUAAGUCACGCUCACUCUGCGGGCUAUUUCAUGCCUGUGCAAAUCAAAACAUUCCUCAGAUUAGCACCUGACCACACCCCGAAGUUGUCAUAACUUCACCUGGUUUCUGUGUGGAGUCCGAGCCAAGAGAGGAGCCCAACCUGUGGAAAGUAAACACAAAAACGCCCUGGAGACCCACCCUGUGAAAGUUUGGAGAAGAAAAGAUUUAAGGAAGGAUUUAGUCACCAGUGAAUCAUGGUUAUUGUAUAUUCGAGCAGCAUGAGAAGGAGGCGGGAUGUUUACAGCUUGAGAGUUUUGGCUGUAAACUAGCGUGAGUGUGAUUAUGCUGUUUAGUCUAACGAGAACCAAUGGGAGCAAUUAAAGUCCUGCAGAGUCACAUUGGUCUCCCAUGUGUCUAAAUCUGCCUUCAGAGGGAUUCCCCUUCCUUACUUCUUUUUACUUAACACUUAUUCCCCCUGCUGUGACUGACGUGGAUCUGUCUCAUAAAUCAGGAUUACCUCUUUGAGAGACAGGUUGUAGUCUGAUUCCCUCCACAGAGGCAGUAAUGACUUAGCGAGUACACUUCUUUCUUUCCCAGGAGGUAAAUUCUUUCGUCUCAGGGUGAUUGAGCUGUCGCCCAAAGGGGAACCAGUGGAGCACCGAGCUCCUUAAAAACGCAGCAGAACAAUUAUGGGUAGCUUCAGGAGCAGGUUUCUAAAGGCACAUCUCAGACUGAGUUCAACCCCUAUGAAAGUAAAUCCUGUAUUCCUUAUAGUUAUCUAGUUUGAUGUCAUGAUAAUGUAAAAGAAAAGGACAUUCAGAUCUGAAACCUGAGGAAAUUUGCUGAUAAAUGUCGAUAUUUUCCUUCUCGAGGGUCAUUUUUCCUAACCCCAAGCCUUUCAUUUUUCUUUUCUGUUCUUAGGAAACUCAUCCCACCCUCUCUCGUGUGUGAUUCAUCAGCUAACAUCACAGAGAUUCGUAAUCAUUGCUCAGCUGAUCAUGUCCGCACACGGCUUAGGCCGAGUGCUCGCUCACUCCCCCUCACCAACUGCCAGGUGAGAGUAAAGGGAAGACAUGGGUUUUAGAGUCCAAAAUAAGCAACAAACAUACAAUUAACUAUUCACAAAUAUUAAAAAA